This 117-nucleotide non-coding RNA is filed under the name Nomascus leucogenys (northern white-cheeked gibbon). The record is from Rfam by way of RNAcentral. Lineage: Eukaryota; Metazoa; Chordata; Mammalia; Primates; Hylobatidae.
GCUGGGUGUGGUGGCUCACACCUGUAAUCCCAGCACUUUCGGAGGCCGAGGCGGGUGGAUCACCUGAGGUCAGGAGUUCGAGACUAGCCUGGCCAACAUGGUGAAACCUCGUCUCUA